GAUCAAAUCAAGCGCGAGAAGGGCGUUUGGUGGAUGCCUUGGCAGUAAGAGGCGAUGAAGGACGUGAUACUCUGCGAUAAGCCGGGGGGAGCCGAGAAUAGGCUUUGAUCCCCGGAUCUCCGAAUGGGGCAACCCACCUGACAGUUCGUUAUUGUUGCGCAAGCAAUCAAUAACGCGCUGAAACAGGUACUUAAGACCUGAAUACAUAGGGUUUUAAGAGCAAACCCGGGGAACUGAAACAUCUAAGUACCCGGAGGAAAGGAAAUCAACUGAUACUCCCCUAGUAGCGGCGAGCGAACGGGGACCAGCCGAGCCAUGAAUGUGACCAGAACAGUCUGGAAAGUCUGACCAUAGUGGGUGACAGUCCCGUAUGGGAAGCAUGAUCGGACGUAUUAAGUAGGGCGGGACACGUGAAAUCCUGUCUGAAGAUCGGGGGACCACCCUCGAAGGCUAAGUACUCCUUACUGACCGAUAGCGAACCAGUACCGUGAGGGAAAGGUGAAAAGCACCCCGACGAGGGGAGUGAAACAGUACCUGAAACCGAACGCCUACAAUCAGUCGGAGGCUCCUCGAGAGCUGACGGCGUACCUUUUGUAUAAUGGGUCAUCGACUUGGUCUCACGAGCAAGCUUAAGCCGAUAGGUGUAGGCGCAGCGAAAGCGAGUCUUAAUAGGGCGUCGAGUUCGUGGGAUCAGACCCGAAACCGAGUGAUCUAGGCAUGACCAGGCUGAAGGUGCGGUAACACGCACUGGAGGGCCGAACCCACACCUGUUGAAAAAGGUCGGGAUGAGCUGUGCCUAGGGGUGAAA
RNAcentral lists this ribosomal RNA (808 nucleotides) under Gammaproteobacteria bacterium. RNAcentral's name for it is "partial 23S ribosomal RNA". It matches the Rfam family "Bacterial large subunit ribosomal RNA", at positions 1 to 826 of the family's 2925-position model. Lineage: Bacteria; Pseudomonadati; Pseudomonadota; Gammaproteobacteria. The record is from RNAcentral.